GGCUUUGUGGAGCAGUGGUUAGCACGCUCGGUGCGUAUUCGAAAGGUCCGUGGUUCGAGUCCCGGCUAGGUCA
This 73-nucleotide transfer RNA is filed under the name Stegodyphus mimosarum. It matches the Rfam family "tRNA". From Rfam's summary of the family: Transfer RNA (tRNA) molecules are approximately 80 nucleotides in length. Their secondary structure includes four short double-helical elements and three loops (D, anti-codon, and T loops). Further hydrogen bonds mediate the characteristic L-shaped molecular structure. tRNAs have two regions of fundamental functional importance: the anti-codon, which is responsible for specific mRNA codon recognition, and the 3' end, to which the tRNAs corresponding amino acid is attached (by aminoacyl-tRNA synthetases). tRNAs cope with the degeneracy of the genetic code in two manners: having more than one tRNA (with a specific anti-codon) for a particular amino acid; and 'wobble' base-pairing, i.e. permitting non-standard base-pairing at the 3rd anti-codon position. Lineage: Eukaryota; Metazoa; Arthropoda; Arachnida; Araneae; Eresidae. The record is from Rfam by way of RNAcentral.